Molecule: non-coding RNA, 286 nt
Organism: Cajanus cajan (pigeon pea)
Lineage: Eukaryota; Viridiplantae; Streptophyta; Magnoliopsida; Fabales; Fabaceae
Source: RefSeq, a predicted model, not a curated record
GGUACCUAGCUCGCGCGAAUCACACACUAGCAAGGUCAUUGAUCUUCGAAGCUGAUUUUCUGAUACACUACUAGGCUCGUUGAAACUCUUAUAGGGUUUGGAGACGCUCCCGAAGGAGUUUUCCCGAGACGUGGUGGUCUUGACGUGAGUUCGUUGCUGAAGGGAGAGGAUCGCUCGAGGUGCUUGUCGAGGACGUCGUUGAUUCGCUUGCGAUCCUCCGAUUUGGAGGAAACGGACACUCCUCCUCGCUCUUUGUACAUGAUAGUUACCGAAUCAUGGUGGGAAA